UUUCAGUUUGCCCGGAUGGUGGUGAGCAGGGUCCACAGGCCCUCUGCCUUCACCCUUACGGAUGAGGAUCCCAACUGUGAGUGACAGCGGCACCACACAGAGGGUCCCGCCCCCACCCAGUCUGUCCAGAGCCAGAAGCAGCUCGAACUCAAGCAGGGACCCUGCAGCCACAGGGUCCUCAGCGCUCGUCUGAGUCAGGCUGCACCUCAUGUGGACGCACCGUUUCGGACUCUCCGGACUCUUUUGCUCAGCUUCCUGGGGAGCUCUGAGACUCGAACCCGUUUCCGUGUCUCCAUUCUG
RNAcentral lists this long non-coding RNA (300 nucleotides) under Suricata suricatta (meerkat). Its description in RNAcentral is "lncRNA (ENSSSUG00005017392.1)". Lineage: Eukaryota; Metazoa; Chordata; Mammalia; Carnivora; Herpestidae. The record is from RNAcentral.